RNAcentral lists this long non-coding RNA (4408 nucleotides) under Homo sapiens (human). RNAcentral describes it as "non-protein coding MIR99AHG:113". The record is from RNAcentral. Lineage: Eukaryota; Metazoa; Chordata; Mammalia; Primates; Hominidae.
AUGGAUCUGAGAACGCUGUCUGGGCUUGGUACCAAGAGCUGGUAUUUCACAGCAGCGACCGCCUCACAGACGAGCUGUGGGAAGCAGGAGGGAGACUCUCUCUUAGGGUGCCACUACUAUGGAGACACAGCUGGGCUGAACAAGAUUUGCUUCAAACGACAACAAGAGAGACAGAAAGUAUCUGGUUCAACCGCUGCCCGAGCAGGCAGGCACCAGAAGAGCUAGCAGCCAAUCCGGCCAUGCUCGAAGCCAGCUCUGCAGCUCAGCCAAUCAGUGACAUCAUUGCUUUCUUUAGCUUGCCCAUGGUGAUGUGAAGAUGAGAAGAAAUAGCAAGGCCCAACCAGUUCUUCAUCUGGAGACAGUUCAACGUUCUGCAAACCAGAUCUUCAGGAAUUUUACUGGGAUAAUUAUCCAAAUAAAUUGCAAGCAUUCUAUCCAAAUGGAGCUCUUUCUGAGAUGAAGAGAAUUCUCAAUGUCAAGAUUUGAACAAGAAGAGAAUGGAAUACACAAUAUGGACAUCCAUAAAAAUUCAUCAGAGAGCAUUUUACUACUGAGCUGCAAAGGGAAAAACUUAAAAUGGAUAUGAAAAGUGAAGAAAGUGAUCAUAGGAGAAAACCAUUUCAGAUGACAAGAGCACCUCAAAGGCAGCAGCCUCAAGGAGCAGCCAUGGCCCCAGACUUGUCGCACGGAUGCAGAAAACUUAAUGGAGGAGGCUGAGGUCAGAAUGGGAAGAGUUUUUAAAAAAUAAAAAGGGGAGCUAAUAUGUGAGGAACUGAUUGCUGUGCAUUAUUUUCCACUGAACAGACCUUCUUUUAACUUCUAAUCUCAAGCACAUAGCAGCUGUUGUUUUCAUAUUAAAGAUCAGUAAGUGUUUGUUGAAUGAAUGUAUAAAUUCUUCCCCAAUCUCUGUUCCAUGUAAUAAGAACUAAGUUAGCAUUCAAUUAUAAAGAGGACUUAGAAAGUCUGCAGACAUUUUUGAUCAAAAAUCCUUUUAACUGUCUUCUUAUGGUUCCCGGUAACACCUAAGCCCAAAAAACUCAGGUCAUUUCUUGCCUGUACUGUUGCAAUAGCCUCAUAAUAACUAGUCUUCUCCUUUAUCAACCACAGUCGUCUCCGCUACACAAAGAAGAGAGGGUGCUAAUCUAAAGUGUAAAUUAUUUUAAAUCAGCACCCUUCUUGUAAUUUCCCAGUGGUUUUUCCUGUCAUAAGAAUAACAUGCAAAAUUCCUUGCUUGCAAAGCCAGGUAUGACCUUGCCCCGUCUACCUUACUGGCAUCGUCUCUCAUGACUCUUCCCCUUUUUCACUCUCCAUCUUGCCUUUUCCCAACCAUGCCUGCUAGUGAGCCUUAGCCCUUGUGUUUUCUCUGCCAGGGAUGCAUGACUGGCUUCUUUACUUUAUUCUGAUCUCUCUGCUCAAAUGUCAUCUUUUUAGAGAUAGCUUUCCUAAACAUCUUUAAAAGUACCCCAUGAACUGUGAAACACCUUUCCUGCUUUUUCUUCAUAGUACUUAUCACUUCCUGAUAUUAUGUUAGACAACAAGCAAAUAAGUAUAUGCUGUUCCCACUAAAAUAUAAGCUCCAUUUGAACAGGAGCCUUGAUUAUUCCUGAGUAUACCCCUAGUGCCCAGAACCUAGUAGGGCUUUAAUAAAUAUUAGAUUCAUUUGUUGAAUGAAAAAAUGAAUGAAUAAUUGAAUAAAGAUAUCCAGGUAGAGUGUCCGGGCAGCCCAACCUAUGUGAAGCCAGUACAAGAAUGUUUCUGUGACAUAGUGAGCGCAAUUAUUCCUCUAAAUGAUGAACUUGCAUGAGUACACAAGGAUAAAAUUAAGCACGUAGUUUAGAUUUCUGCAAGUCUCUUCCUCAGAUUGAGGAAAAACAAAGAAAUUGAGCUUAUUCUCACCUCAUUCUUACAUGAACUAAAUCCAGAAUAAAGCAUCAUUUAAAUACCAAGCACAUCCCUACCUCAGCCACUCAUGGAAUACUUUAUCUGUAAAGGGACAGAUAGAUAGUAAAUAUUUUUGGCUUUGGGGACCGUACAGUCUGUGUCGCCACUACUCAGCACUUCUGUUGAGGUGUGGAAUCAGCCCUAGACAACACAUAAACAAAUGGGUGUGGCUGUGUUCCAAUAAAAUGUUAUUUAUAAAACUAGGAAAUCAGCAGAUUUAGUCCACAGGCUGUAGUUUGCUGACCCUUGAAUUAGAGAGUCUUCCCCAAAUCCUCUUCCCAAGUUAUUGAAAGAAUGCCCAUAGGACCAUAGCUCCCUCACCUGGUUCUUUCAAGAAAUGAGACAAAUUCAGGGAUGGUUGGAGGGUGGAACGCCUACCUGUGACAUGACUAUUGAGCCUGAUUUCUUUCCUUUUAUCUCUUUAAAGUGAGUCAGGUCUUAACUUUAAACUGUCUCUAAAGUGGCAAUAACUGGGCCAUGUCAAAUACUCCCAAUGACAAAAUUUCUUCUUGGAGAAUGAAUGAGGGUUGCAUACAGUGGUGUGUUGGUAAAUGUUUAGCAACUGGCUCUCUUACUGAUUUCUGUAGUGUAAAUUCUCCCAUCCUGGCCAUCUGAAACUACCAAUAUGAUGUCACUUGAUGUAGAGUUGGGAAAAGACAGUCUCUUGAAUAAGUAUGAGCUGGUUCCAGCCCACUGCUGAACACAUAUUUAAAAGCUACAAUAGCUCUGCUCACUGCCAUUGCAGAGUCUGGAGGAAAGAGUAGCAGGCUUGAUAGGAGCAAUUGGCUGAAUAAUCUUUUGCAAUGCCAAUAAAUAAUGAAAAAGUAUAUAAAUAUAACGCUGUAUAGAAAGCUCUCAAGUUCAGUGUUUGGUUAAAAUACAUACUCAGUAAAUGGUAGCUAUUAUUGUCUUAGUUUAAGUUAUUGCAAGCAUUAAAAUUAAAUGUUUAGCUACAGACUCAAUCCAGUUUUAAUGUCAUUGUGUUAAUAAGGCCUCUUAACAUUGAAGCAACAAAGAUAAAGGAAUUUUUUUGUAGCUAUUCACGAUUCUGCCCAGCUCAAGGUAAAGAUAGCAACAAAAUACUCCAACCAGAAUAAAAGAAGUCUCCACUUGACUGCAGCUCUUCGCAACACUUCACAAGGGUCAAGCUGUGUUAGUUUCCUUCAGUGUUAAACAGAAUGCAUCUUAAGAGAAUAGUUCAAUUAUUGAUUGAAUAGUAGGUUCAAGUUGACUAUAAUCCCAACUAAUACACUCUAAGACCAGGGAUGGGCCGACAGAAGGGUAAAGUUUUCCACUCAAGUCUCGAGGCAAACACUCAGAUAGAAGUAGUAAUAUGGAUGCCUUCUAUUAUUUGGUCACAUACAAUACUGUUCCAGCCCAGUUGUGCAAAACUGGUGAAAUAAAAGGCAAAAAUAUUGACAACAGUUUGGGUAACUGGAUUCCAAAAUGGGCAUCCAUCUAAGAGAAAUUAAUGAAAAAAAAGCAUAUGGACCUUGAAAUACAUUAAUACACAGUUUAGGUUUAAACACUCAGUUUUUAUUAGAAAAGACUAACUUAUCCUGUUUUGAACACUACAAAAGUGCUUUCUGAACCAUUUACUCUCAAACCUCCUCCACCCAUUCCCCUCCAUCUAUAACGCUUUCUGCACAUCUGUAAAAGGUAUGACUUAGUGUUUGGUCUGUGAAAUAAGGUUAAAAAGGAAGCAUUUCUUUUUACAUUCUAGCUAAUGUUGAUAUUUUUCUCAUGCUUCUAUUAGCACAUAAUUCAGAUACAUUAGUUUUGAAGUUUUGAAUCUUCUCUGCUUCUUGAGGGCUCUCUGUUCUAGAUCAACAUGAUCUGUGGAACACCAGCCAAGUCCUGGGCAGAACCCUCCCCGUUGUCCAAAUAUUACUGAAUCAGUUGAGUUUUCUCUGUUGUCAAUGAAUUAUUCCACAUGUUUCUUUGGCUACAUUUUUUUUGGCUUUCUGUUCACAGUAAAUAUAGCCUUUGUUUUUAAAAACUUCUAUUAUGAAAAUUCCAAAUAUAUGCAAAUUAGAGAGAAUAGCAUAAUGAACCUCUAUGUGCUUAUCACACAUAUAGGUUCAACUAAUUAAAUUAUAUCAAUUUAUGGCCAAUCUGGUUUCAUUUAUAACAUCAUUCGCUCAUUCCUAACUCCCUGGAUUAUUUGAUUGACAUGUUUCUAAAGUUCCUUUUAAUCUGUAGGUUCCCCCUCUCAUUUAAUCUUUUGCAACUUAUUCAUUGAUGAAACUGGGUUAUUUGUCCUUUAUUGUUUCUCUCAUUCUGAAAUAUGCUGUAAUGUCAUUAACCAUAUUCUUCUUUCCUGUAUUUUCUGUAAGCUUUGAGCUAGGCAGAAAUAUUUUAAUCAGAUUCCUUUUUUUUUCUUUUAGCAAGAUUUCUUCAUAAAUAAUAUUGUAUGUGUUCAUGAAAAUAGAAAUAAAAAUAGAAAUAAAGAAGAAAUAACAGAAAA